CAUUUUCCUUGCUACUGCUAUUCUUAAAAAUAGGAUGCUAAGGAUAGAGAAGAGGGAAGCAGAGGAGAGAUACAAAAGCAGCUGUCACUGUCUUGGGUGUAGCAGGAGAGGCCAGUGUUCAGGACUCUGCGGGAAGCGGAACACGGCCAGCAGAGGGCAGCAAAGCACGCCCGGCUGCGAGGACCCGCGGCGACCACGGCGAGACCCGGCAAGUGCAGAAGAGGAUGUCGAAAUAAAGGCCAGAGUCUCUAGUCUGCUGUUGACCAGUGUGGUUUGAUUUUUUGAUCUAUUAUACAAGCGAGCCCUUAAACUCGCUGAUGAACAGUUGCUAGAUGGAUACCUACUUAGGGGUUUCCUUGCCAAAGAAAAGUUUUGGGAUUUUUUCCCCCAGCAUUUGGAACUAUUUCCCGUGAUCCACUUCCAACAGCCCCAAGUCCAUGUCUGAAGAUGGCAAGUAUCUCCUCUAGGUUUUUAUUCUUCCCAUCAGUUCUUCUGUCUGCAAGACCAUAACUCCAUGGGAUAACCUUGAGAUGCCCUUUAAAGAUGAGUCAUCAACUAUAAGACCAC
Molecule: long non-coding RNA, 567 nt
Filed under: Fukomys damarensis (Damara mole-rat)
Lineage: Eukaryota; Metazoa; Chordata; Mammalia; Rodentia; Bathyergidae
Description: lncRNA (ENSFDAG00000025662.1)
Source: RNAcentral